CAGACAAAGAAGUCGUCUUUGUGAGUUUCUACAAUGGCGGGCCGGUAUCGCCAGUCCGACUCACCGCAAACUCCUCGCAUAGAACAGCCUGGACAUGACCGACUGGUUUCAGUCAGACCCGCGACAGAGACUGAGAAGAAACUGUUGAGCGUUAUCAGCCGGCUGUCUGGUCAGAGAGGACCGCUGGAGGAGAAGCUGGAGCAGAAGCUGGAGGAGAGGAUAGCUGCCAUGGAAGCCAAAUUAAACACUUUCUCCAGCGGCGAGGAAAUUCAGCGGAAAAGAGGAGAGCACAGUCCUAAAAUUGCGACUGGGCUCACCUCACAAUGAGACAGUCAGGACAUAUUUAGUUAAAACUUCGGCUGAAGUCCAGAUGUGGAGGAUGUGGAGACAGACGUCCUUCUAUCUGAUUGUAAAAAGCAUUUUGAAACUCUACGGAGGAACUACCGCUACAGUCAACCCAACAUGGCGGAUCAGUCUUCUGCCCGGAGUCACCAGAGAAGAAAGAGGGAAAGAGAUAUUAGUUUGAUUCAUUACAUUGUGUGUUUUAUACAAAAUGUGGUUAGAAUAGUAUUGCUGGUCACUAUGACAUUAUUUUUCUGUUAAAUUAUUAAAUGUAUUGAUUUCCUGUACUGAUUGUGUUCACAGCUGCUGGAUGCCAGGAAGACAGUCCUUGCUCCAGAUGAAGAGGACUUCUGGAAGGGCAUCACAGCUGACAUGAUGUCAGAUGAGGAGGACUUCUGGAAGGGCAUCACAACUGACAUGAUGUCAGAUGAGGAGGACUUCUGGAAGGGCAUCACAACUGACAUGAUGUCAGAUGAAGAGGACGGCAGCAUUGACGGGGUGCGUGGAUGGAUAGUACGGCCUCCAUCCUUCCACAGCCAGGAGCUUGCCAACCUGUGUGCAGCCCUACAGGCUGAUGUAAAGUACACAGCUCUACAUCACAGGCGUUUUCACAAUGGACAGCCGUCUGAUAGACUGAAGCCACUGAAGUACAACACGGCAGCAGCCAGAAAAACAUUUUAAGCCAGAGCUGAUGCUUGAGACCAGCCUGGAGUGAGAGAUGAACUUGGUCAAAAUUUUUUGUAAUUUUUUUGUUUUUAAAGACAGUUUAUUUUAAUUUUGAUUUCGGAUUUCUGGAACUCUGGACUGUUCAAUAAAGUUCUUUUUUUUCAA
Long non-coding RNA from Amphiprion ocellaris (clown anemonefish), 1173 nucleotides. RefSeq lists it as uncharacterized. The transcript has 3 exons. The record is from RefSeq and is a predicted model, not a curated record. Lineage: Eukaryota; Metazoa; Chordata; Actinopteri; Pomacentridae.